RNAcentral lists this long non-coding RNA (1850 nucleotides) under Scophthalmus maximus (turbot). Its description in RNAcentral is "lncRNA (ENSSMAG00000030470.1)". Lineage: Eukaryota; Metazoa; Chordata; Actinopteri; Pleuronectiformes; Scophthalmidae. The record is from RNAcentral.
CAGCGGUGGAUUCCAGUAAACUUGUUGUGUAAUCUCUGUGAAAUGAAUCACGAGUAUGGGUGAGCUAAAUGAAUGGGGAGGAUGAGUGUGUGUGUAUGUGUGUGUGUGUGUGAGAGUGUGUGCGUGUGUGCGUGUGUGUGUGUGUGUGUGUGUGUGUGUGUGUGUAUACAUUGGUUUGACAGGAGGUUAGAAGCCAGGGGCCUCUCUCGGUCUCUCUUUAGCAAGUGAGUGAAAUACAGGCCUGGUUGUCAAGGUGACAGGCCCUGACAGCACACUCCAGCUAAGCCGUCGACUGCCUUUCAUUAAAGAAAAUAGAGCGCGCGCACAAAAGACACACACACACACACACACACACACAGGUCUCGAUCUCUUUCUCACCCACUCCCUGCACGCUGCAUUACUUUUCCCUGAAUGCCCAUUCUGUGAUUUUAUCCAAAUUUCUUUGCCAUUUUUUCUUCCAGAUUCUCUUCUUGACUCUGACUCUUGCGUAUGCAUAUGUUCUCACUGCAUGUUCAUACUUGGUGGCAGCUCUUUGCACUCGCAGAUCAACGCCCCUCGUGCUCAGGCAAGUUUGCAACACUCUGAGUGUUGCGUUGGAUCUGCCUUUGUAAAGCAACUGGGUGGUGCGAUAUCAGCGUUUGUCCAGGUGAAGGCCAGGUGUCGACAGACGAGAAGGCCAAGUGAUAAAUCGAACAGCAAAGGGAGGGGGAUAACAGCACAUUCUCACAAAUCAUCCGGGGAAUCUGAGGGUGUCCCAGUCCUGAAGAGGAAUUCUGGGCCCGCUGCCAGAUCCCAGACACAAAGAGACAGAGGAGGAUCAACCGUGUCAUCGUCGACUCUUUCGCUCUGCUUCCUGUUUCUGUCCCUUUGCGUCUUUUUUUGGGCUCAACCUGUAUCUAUUUUUGCCUCUGUCAGUUUUCCCAGGGGAUUACUUUUCCUGGAGUCCACAAAAAAGGUAAUUUAUGAGUCAGACGGAUGAGCAUUUCAGGACAGUCCGCAUGUCUACUAUACAAAAUAUACAAGUAUAUGAAACAUGGAUGCAACAUUAUUCCAAAACACAUUAUUAUUUAUGGAUGGCCGCUUGUGUAUUAAAUCAAACCUGCGGGGCUAUAUUUCAGUCAGGAAGACACAGUCUGUUUUCAAGCAAGUGAACUAUGUGGAGGGAAAAGAGGAGGGGAGAGAGAGAGGAGGCCAAAAGCAGGAAAGUGGAAAGAUGAAAAGGCCGCCGGGGUGGCGAGGGAUGCACAUUAAAAACAUUAAGCAGAGAGAAUUACACUGGCAGAGAACAAGGUCUUUGCAGGAGUGCUCAGGGCGCUUGGUGAAAGAACAAAGGGAAAGCUUGAAGUGUAGGGAAGCCCUCUGUGGAUAAGACUCUGGAUAAGUGUCGGAGACAGGAUCGUAAAUCCCAGACCCCAUAGCCGGCGAGCUGGGGCCAGGGUCAGAGAGGGAGAGCACGGAGAGAAGGGCUGAGGAGAGGUGGGAGGUGAUCAUCCAGAAAGAUAGACUGAAACCAUAACAUAAAAAAACAUCUUUCGCUUAAUACUGAAUCACUGAAAACCAGAUGCAUUGCGCGCUAAAAUGCUUUCCGCGCACAGAGGCGGGACAUGGACGCGGCAACGCGGCAAAUGGCAACAAUGUCAGGGUCGUGACGCAUGGAUCAAAUUAAAGUUCCCUGAGGGCUGUCAUCACCGCCCUGUGUCUCACACCGGGCAUUCCUCACAUUCUGUCCACCUUAGGACAGCAGCUCCGGUGAGUCAUUAGUGAAUCUAAAUACACCGGCGGCACCUAUCGAAUACAGGAAUGGUGGCCGACGUCAUCCCCGCUCCUGUGUUGCAAAUACUUGUCAGAGC